GCCAGCAGCCAUAACACUGGCAGUUCAGACUAGGUGAUUCCCCUGAAGCUAAGCUGGUUUGGGCCUGGCCAGUACUUGGAUGGGAGACCAACUACGUUGCUGCUGGAA
This 108-nucleotide ribosomal RNA is filed under the name Paramormyrops kingsleyae. Lineage: Eukaryota; Metazoa; Chordata; Actinopteri; Osteoglossiformes; Mormyridae. The record is from RNAcentral.